Molecule: long non-coding RNA, 587 nt
Filed under: Medicago truncatula (barrel medic)
Lineage: Eukaryota; Viridiplantae; Streptophyta; Magnoliopsida; Fabales; Fabaceae
Description: lncRNA gene30388
Source: RNAcentral
UGCUAAUCAUUCCCUGGCAGAAUGAGAUUAUCCACAAAGAUAAGUAUAACAGUAAAGUUCUUCUGAUUAUGAAUUUUAGUAAACAAGGAGUGACCAGAUUGUGAUUGAGCAUAUCCAAGAGAGGUGAGGAAGGAAGACGGGCAUGGCAAGCUAUAACUUGCUGACCUGAUUGAGACCAUAAAGAGACUUCAAGAGUCGGUAUAAACUUGGUUAAGAGCAUGAUGAGAAUAAAAGGGAGGAACCACCAUGUAGACCUUCUCAUCCAAUUCACCAUGGAUGAAUGUAUCGUUGACAUCCAAUUGAUGGAGAUGUCAAUAUUGGGUGGUUGCAAUGGCAAGAAGUAGAAAAAGUACACCGGUGAGAAAGUUCCCAUAAAGUCAAUACCUCCAAUCCAAGUGUAACACUCCGCAACAAGGCGAGCUUUAUAUCGUUCUAUGGGUCCACCAGACUUGUACUCAAUCUUGUAAACUCAUUUACAACUAAUGUGUUUCUUUCCAAAAGGGAGAAAUGUUAGCUCCCAAGUGUUGUCAUGUUCUUAGGCUUGCAAUUCAGCUUGUGGAUCCAAAUUUAAGCAAGACAGUUUUGAG